RNAcentral lists this ribosomal RNA (119 nucleotides) under Vigna radiata var. radiata (mung bean). Lineage: Eukaryota; Viridiplantae; Streptophyta; Magnoliopsida; Fabales; Fabaceae. The record is from RNAcentral.
AGGUGCGAUCAUACCAGCACUAAUGCACCGGAUCAUAUCAGAACUCCGCAGUUAAGCGUGAUUCGGCGAGAGUAGUACUAGGAUGGGUGACCUUCUGGGAAGUCCUCAUGUUGCACCUC